This 780-nucleotide ribosomal RNA is filed under the name Bacillus amyloliquefaciens. Its description in RNAcentral is "bacterial SSU rRNA". It matches the Rfam family "Bacterial small subunit ribosomal RNA", at positions 63 to 808 of the family's 1533-position model. Lineage: Bacteria; Bacillati; Bacillota; Bacilli; Caryophanales; Bacillaceae. The record is from RNAcentral.
CGAGCGGACAGAUGGGAGCUUGCUCCCUGAUGUUAGCGGCGGACGGGUGAGUAACACGUGGGUAACCUGCCUGUAAGACUGGGAUAACUCCGGGAAACCGGGGCUAAUACCGGAUGCUUGUUUGAACCGCAUGGUUCAGACAUAAAAGGUGGCUUCGGCUACCACUUACAGAUGGACCCGCGGCGCAUUAGCUAGUUGGUGAGGUAACGGCUCACCAAGGCGACGAUGCGUAGCCGACCUGAGAGGGUGAUCGGCCACACUGGGACUGAGACACGGCCCAGACUCCUACGGGAGGCAGCAGUAGGGAAUCUUCCGCAAUGGACGAAAGUCUGACGGAGCAACGCCGCGUGAGUGAUGAAGGUUUUCGGAUCGUAAAGCUCUGUUGUUAGGGAAGAACAAGUGCCGUUCAAAUAGGGCGGCACCUUGACGGUACCUAACCAGAAAGCCACGGCUAACUACGUGCCAGCAGCCGCGGUAAUACGUAUGUGGCAAGCGUUGUCCGGAAUUAUUGGGCGUAAAGGGCUCGCACGCGGUUUCUUAAGUCUGAUGUGAAAGCCCCCGGCUCAACCGGGGAGGGUCAUUGUAAACUGGGGAACUUGAGUGCAGAAGAGGAGAGUGGAACUUCCACGUGUAGCGGUGAAAUGCGUAGAGAUGUGGAAGGAACACCAGUGGCCGAAGGGUCGACUCUCUGGUCUGUAACUGACCGCUGAGGAGCGAAAGACGUGGAGGAGUCGAACAAGGGAUUAGAUACGGCUGCAUCAGUCCCACCGCCCGUAAAAC